Molecule: non-coding RNA, 63 nt
Filed under: Pseudoduganella umbonata
Lineage: Bacteria; Pseudomonadati; Pseudomonadota; Betaproteobacteria; Burkholderiales; Oxalobacteraceae
Description: toxic small RNA
Rfam family: Betaproteobacteria toxic small RNA
About the family: Overexpression in amino aid rich medium attenuates growth, suggesting role in repressing amino acid intake and metabolism.
Source: RNAcentral
UGUCUCCUCUAUUCUCCUCCAAGGAAAUAGACUUCAGCCCGCCAGCUUGGCGGGCUUUUUUUU